CGUCUAUAUACGUAUAGCAUAUCAAUAAGCGGAGGAAAAGAAACUAACUAGGAUUCCCUCAGUAACGGCGAGUGAAGCGGGAAGAGCUCAAAUUUGAAAUCUUCAAGGGUUUACCUUGACGAAUUGUAGUUUAAAGAAGUGUUUUCUGUUGGUGUUUUGGUAAAAGUUCUUUGGAAUAGGACAUCAUAGAGGGUGAGAAUCCCGUAUUUGACCAUUUCUUCCAGCUGUGUGAUACACUUUCAAAGAGUCGGAUUGUUUGGGAAUGCAGUCCAAAAUGGGUGGUAAAUUUCAUCUAAAGCUAAAUAUUGGCGAGAGACCGAUAGCGAACAAGUACCGUGAGGGAAAGAUGAAAAGAACUUUGAAAAGAGAGUUAAACAGUACGUGAAAUUGUCAAAAGGGAAGCGUUUGACACCAGUGUUGUUUUUCCGAAAAUCAAUUACGAAUGUUUUAUUUUUGAGAAGUUAUGACUUCAUCGGCUUGCUUCUCUCUUUACGAAACUUUCUUAAUGCACUUUUCGGUUAACACGUCAACAUCAAUUUCUUUUGUUGUAAAAGGGUAUGAGGAAGGUGGCUUUCUUUUCGGAGAAAGUGUUUAUAGCCUUGUACCUCUGCAAUCGGAGAGAUUGAGGUCUGCAGCGUAGAUCCUUCGGGGUUAGAUACAUUUGUGCUAAGUUAUAGCUUUUCAUAGACAACUUGUUGACUAUGUUAAGUCUUGUAGCUUACUCGCUUAUGCUAUUUUACCUACGCUUAGGAUGUUGAUAUGCAUGACUGAUAU
RNAcentral lists this ribosomal RNA (774 nucleotides) under uncultured Neocallimastigales. RNAcentral's name for it is "partial large subunit ribosomal RNA". It matches the Rfam family "Eukaryotic large subunit ribosomal RNA", at positions 26 to 640 of the family's 3401-position model. The record is from RNAcentral. Lineage: Eukaryota; Fungi; Neocallimastigomycota; Neocallimastigomycetes; Neocallimastigales.